GGGAGCUCUUUCCACCCUGAAGGGACAGCACACAGGUGCUUGCUGAAAAUGUAACAAGUAGGUGAUGGAAGCUGGUACCACUGAGUCCGUUCGAGGCAGGAAUAGACAUUGCAAUAAUGAACGAGAGUUGCACAGGCUGGGGGUUCAAUCCCUAAGUCCUCACGCAGGCUCAGCUCUCAUUGCCGUGCUUCUUGAAAAGCCUCAUCGACAUCCAUAGGAAUUUACCAGUGGUAAAAGGUGGACCUGAGGAAGGCAUCGGUGGGAGCUGCCAAGAGAAUGUGAACAGGCUGCUGCUGCUGCUGCUGUAGCCUCGGUCUCUCUGUGAGCUGUUGUAUCAUGCGGUGUAAAGGAAUCAGCGCCAAUGCAAUUAAACCUCAGCUUGGAGACUGAUCUCCUGGAA
Molecule: long non-coding RNA, 400 nt
Organism: Dermochelys coriacea (leatherback sea turtle)
Lineage: Eukaryota; Metazoa; Chordata; Testudines; Dermochelyidae
Exons: 2
Source: RefSeq, a predicted model, not a curated record